CAAAAUUUUUUUCUCUUAUAAACUUAGAGGAUGCUCAUGAAAUGAUUAUAUUUUACUCUGGAAGUAUUUUGUACAUAUAUUAACCAAACAAUUGGUUAAGAACCAAAAAUCAUUUCAAAUUU
Long non-coding RNA from Rhagoletis zephyria (snowberry fruit fly), 122 nucleotides. RefSeq lists it as uncharacterized. The record is from RefSeq and is a predicted model, not a curated record. NCBI's taxonomy places the organism in Eukaryota, Metazoa, Arthropoda, Insecta, Diptera, Tephritidae.